AAUAUAGUUCUUAUCCGAGAUCCAGAGAAUCCAAAAGAUUUUUAUCCUCGUUUCAACCUUGAAGAUACCUCAAGUUUCCAGGCUUUGGAUGAUCACAUGUACCUUAUUAAUAUUAGUGCAUGUGGAUAAACCACUAGGAAUGGUUCCAGCUAUUAUGCUGAUAUUCAUCAUUGUUUGGCGCUGAAAACUAGGACUGUUAAAAAAAAACACUGAGCAAGAAUGUUCUCAACAGAUUGUAUUACGACUACUAUUUCCAACGUCAAGAGAAUCUUUGGAGGCAAAAUGCGCUUAAGACUCUACCUGCACUUCUAAAUUCAUCAGGGUAAAAAGUCUUCAUUAAAAAUCAAAUCAUUCCUCUAUGUCUCAUGUCAUCGUCCCUGCUUGCUACUGUAGGAUAAACAUGUUCAUCCAUUGUUAAUCAAUUUUUCAUGGUUGGAGAAAAGGAGAUCUACUUGAAUUAUUAUUUUAUGGGAAGUUGUUAUAAGGGAUGUGCUAGGGUAUCUAGUCAAUUUCACCGAAUAUGCGAGUCAGAGUAUUUCCUGCAUUAACAGGAAGAGUAUACAAACCUCUUCAUUUGGAGUGAGUCCAAGUUAUGAUAUAAAUAAUAAGAUAUGUGUAGAGUAAGUAGCCUAGUAAGAUAGAUCAUCGGUGGUGCUUGACCAAAAGUUCUCAGCUGUCUUGUUCAGAUUCAGGUUUGCUAUGACCUUCAAUUAGUUGCCGCAGAUAUUGGAGUUUUGUUGUGGCUAUUUGAUGUUCAGUUACAGCUUUCUGAGCUGAACAUAAUAGUGCUUACUUUGAAUUGUUAGUUGUCAACUUGUCAUGGUUUUCAGUGUUUAGAUAUGGUUUUAAUGAUAAUGAUAUUGACAACUGUAGCAAUUAGGCUGGCAAAUUACUGUUUUGUACGCCAAAAUUGUAUACAUGAAGUUCACAGAAUUUCCAAGAUGAGGAAUGAGUUCCAUA
This is a long non-coding RNA of Vicia villosa (hairy vetch), 960 nucleotides long. RefSeq lists it as uncharacterized. The transcript has 2 exons. Lineage: Eukaryota; Viridiplantae; Streptophyta; Magnoliopsida; Fabales; Fabaceae. The record is from RefSeq and is a predicted model, not a curated record.